GACGAACGCUGGCGGCGUGCUUAACACAUGCCAGUCGAACGGAAAGGCCCUGCUUUUGUGGGGUGCUCGAGUGGCGAACGGGUGAGUAACACGUGAGUAACCUGCCCUUGACUUUGGGAUAACUUCAGGAAACUGGGGCUAAUACCGGAUAGGAGCUCCUGCUGCAUGGUGGGGGUUGGAAAGUUUCGGCGGUUGGGGAUGGACUCGCGGCUUAUCAGCUUGUUGGUGGGGUAGUGGCUUACCAAGGCUUUGACGGGUAGCCGGCCUGAGAGGGUGACCGGCCACAUUGGGACUGCGAUAGGGCCCAGACUCGUACGGGCGGCAGCAGGGGGGAAUAUUGCAAAAUGGGCGGAAGCCUGAUACAGCAACGCCGCGUGCGGGAUGACGGCCUUCGGGUUGUAAACCGCUUUCGCCUGUGACGAAGCGUGAGUGGCGGUAAUGGGUAAAGAAGCACCGGCUAACUACGUG
RNAcentral lists this ribosomal RNA (468 nucleotides) under uncultured bacterium. RNAcentral's name for it is "partial 16S ribosomal RNA". It matches the Rfam family "Bacterial small subunit ribosomal RNA", at positions 28 to 507 of the family's 1533-position model. The record is from RNAcentral.